RNAcentral lists this long non-coding RNA (677 nucleotides) under Volvox carteri. RNAcentral's name for it is "long non-coding RNA (VCAR_LNC000609)". The record is from RNAcentral. Lineage: Eukaryota; Viridiplantae; Chlorophyta; Chlorophyceae; Chlamydomonadales; Volvocaceae.
GAGCCGUAGACAGAGAGAGCCAGAGACAGAAUCAGCACCAGACCAGCAGCCGAAAGAGAGCCAGCAAUCUCAGCAACCUCGGGCACGUUGCGCAGCGGGCCCAGCUGCAGGGAACAUUGUAAACCAUACAGAAGAAGUCAUCAGCAACACAGCUCUGCUCGUAGUACCUUCCAAAGUUUGCCAAGUAAUCGGCAAGCAAAUCCUUGAUAUCCUUUAUUCCGUAAGUUCACAGCCUGUUACUAGAAGGUAUGCCUAUUGAAAGUGCGCAUUUAAGCAAAUAGGCAAAGCACAGCCAUUCCCUGGUGACUGGUAGUGUCAAUCGACAUCGGACAACAAGAGCUCGUCGCUGUGCAUAUGUAACGAAGUUAUCGCUGGGACCUACCUUAAUGAAGGGGCCAGCUACCAGGAAGCCGUGCGCAAGGCCAAUCUCCACGCCGCGCAGCAGGGGAGCAACGCCAGUGCGGUAGGCCGGCAGGUUGCUCAGGUAAGUGGCGACGAUUGGGGCCGAGGUCACGGGGGUCUCCAGCAUACCCACGAACGGAUCGCCGUUAACGGGGGUGAUCACCUGGGCCUGCAGACGAGCAAGUGUGGAUAGUAAUUUGCCUUUUCAUGGACGGUUCUCUAUGAAGACAAGAGAAGUUUGCACUGUAAUCAUAUUUUCAGCUGGUGAUCUUCAC